CCUACGGGUGGCAGCAGUGAGGAAUAUUGGUCAAUGGCCGAAAGGCUGAACCAGCCAAGUAGCGUGAAGGAUGACUGCCCUAUGGGUUGUAAACUUCUUUUAUAUGGGGAUAAAACGUUCCACGUGUGGGUGUUUGUAUGUACCAUAUGAAUAAGGAUCGGCUAACUCCGUGCCAGCAGCCGCGGUAAUACGGAGGAUCCGGGCGUUAUCCGGAUUUAUUGGGUUUAAAGGGAGCGUAGGUCGAUUGUUAAGUGAGUUGUGAAAGUUUGCGGCUCAACCGUUAGAUUGCAGUUGAAACUGGCAGUCUUGAGUACAGUAGAGGUGGGCGGAAUUCGUGGUGUAGCGGUGAAAUGCUUAGAUAUCACGAAGAACUCCGAUUGCGAAGGCAGUUCACUGGACUGCAACUGACACUGAGGCUCGAAAGUGUGGGUAUCAAACAGGAUUAGAUACCCCAGUAGUC
Molecule: ribosomal RNA, 460 nt
Filed under: uncultured bacterium
Lineage: Bacteria
Description: partial 16S ribosomal RNA
Rfam family: Bacterial small subunit ribosomal RNA
Source: RNAcentral